AAGUACCCAAAUUUAGAUGGCUAAGAAAGUUGGGUUUGAGUUAGAAGCCCAUGUAAUUAAACUUAUGAUGUUCUUGCUUCUCCUUAUUUGCGGCGCAUACUAUGAAUUAUAAUGAAGAAGAACGUGUUUAACAUCACUUUCUUCAGAAAUUCAAGACAAAGUCUUUAAACUCUUCUUCAUGCUUCAAAUCCUUCACAAAAUUCGAGGAGAAGAGAGAAACUGGACUUAUUUUUGCUCAGUUUCUGUAUCAAACUCAGGAGGAGCUCUGGCAUGCUAUUGCCUGAAACCAGCGAUGAAGAAACCGGGCAAAGCAAUUACAGGCAAUGUAGGAGAAGUGUACUUGGGAUGAUUUCUACUCCCGAGUCUCGAAAGUGGCAAUGAGCUUAUAAUUGGCAGGAUCAGCGAGAAUGGCUUGCUCUUACCAAUACUUUCCCAGAUUUUUGAUCCAUCCGACUACCAAUAUUAAUACAAUCUUAGAAGGUAUGAAUUAGCAGUGGUAGUGGGCCUGGUGGGCCCAUGUCUUUUCUAGCGUUAUGUUGGACAAAGGAGGGCCCACUGACUGGGAGGUGCACGUGGGUUCGGGAUAUGGCUCAUCCUUUUCAGGCCCAACAUUGCGGUUGAAUGAUAGAGAGAGAGUGAAUGAAAGAUAGUAAUGUUUUUCAUGAUAAUGCACAAACAAAAUGUUAUUAUUGCAUUACAAUUAUGAAACUCUCAAUAUAAAAAGAAAAGGCUAAUUGUCUAUUAGAACUCACAA
This is a long non-coding RNA of Beta vulgaris subsp. vulgaris (sugar beet), 754 nucleotides long. RefSeq lists it as uncharacterized. The transcript is spliced from 4 exons. NCBI's taxonomy places the organism in Eukaryota, Viridiplantae, Streptophyta, Magnoliopsida, Caryophyllales, Amaranthaceae. The record is from RefSeq and is a predicted model, not a curated record.